GGCUCGGUAGCUUAGUUGGUAAAGCGCUCGUCUAGCAUACAAGAGUCCUGGGUUCGAAUCCCAGCCGAGCAU
RNAcentral lists this transfer RNA (72 nucleotides) under Aedes aegypti (yellow fever mosquito). RNAcentral's name for it is "tRNA AAEL028829". It matches the Rfam family "tRNA". Rfam says of the family: Transfer RNA (tRNA) molecules are approximately 80 nucleotides in length. Their secondary structure includes four short double-helical elements and three loops (D, anti-codon, and T loops). The record is from Rfam by way of RNAcentral. Lineage: Eukaryota; Metazoa; Arthropoda; Insecta; Diptera; Culicidae.